ACGGGUGAGUAAUGUCUGGGAAACUGCCCGGUGGAGGGGGAUAACUACUGGAAACGGUAGCUAAUACCGCAUAACGUCUUCGGACCAAAGUGGGGGAUCUUCGGACCUCACGCCACCGGAUGUGCCCAGAUGGGAUUAGCUAGUAGGUGGGGUAACGGCUCACCUAGGCGACGAUCCCUAGCUGGUCUGAGAGGAUGACCAGCCACACUGGAACUGAGACACGGUCCAGACUCCUACGGGAGGCAGCAGUGGGGAAUAUUGCACAAUGGGCGCAAGCCUGAUGCAGCCAUGCCGCGUGUAUGAAGAAGGCCUUCGGGUUGUAAAGUACUUUCAGCGGGGAGGAAGGCGGUGAGGUUAAUAACCUCGCCGAUUGACGUUACCCGCAGAAGAAGCACCGGCUAACUCCGUGCCAGCAGCCGCGGUAAUACGGAGGGUGCAAGCGUUAAUCGGAAUUACUGGGCGUAAAGCGCACGCAGGCGGUCUGUUAAGUCAGAUGUGAAAUCCCCGGGCUUAACCUGGGAACUGCAUUUGAAACUGGCAGGCUUGAGUCUCGUAGAGGGGGGGUAGAAUUCCAGGU
Molecule: ribosomal RNA, 577 nt
Filed under: uncultured bacterium
Lineage: Bacteria
Description: bacterial SSU rRNA
Rfam family: Bacterial small subunit ribosomal RNA
Source: RNAcentral